UACGUAGGGGCGAAGCGUUGUCCGGAAUCAUUGGGCGUAAAGCGCGUGUAGGCGGUCCGGUAAGUCGGCUGUGAAAGUCAAGGGCUCAACCCUUGAAGGCCGGCCGAUACUGUCGGACUAGAGUCCGGAAGAGGCGAGUGGAAUUCCCCGGUGUAGCGGUGAAAUGCGCAGAUAUCGGGAGGAACACCAAUGGCGAAGGCAGCUCGCUAGGACGGUACUGACGCUGAGACGCG
Molecule: ribosomal RNA, 233 nt
Filed under: uncultured bacterium
Lineage: Bacteria
Description: partial 16S ribosomal RNA
Rfam family: Bacterial small subunit ribosomal RNA
Source: RNAcentral